UACGUAGGGGCCUAGCGUUGUCCGGAUUUAUUGGGCGUAAAGAGCUCGCAGGCGGUCGAUCAAGUCGAGUGUGAAAGCCCCCGGCUCAACUGGGGAGGGUCAUUCGAUACUGAUCGACUCGAAGGCAGGAGAGGGUAGUGGAAUUCCCGGUGUAGUGGUGAAAUGCGUAGAUAUCGGGAGGAACACCAGUGGCGAAGGCGACUACCUGGCCUGUUCUUGACGCUGAGGCGCGAAAGCUAGGGGAGCAAACGGG
RNAcentral lists this ribosomal RNA (253 nucleotides) under uncultured bacterium. RNAcentral's name for it is "partial 16S ribosomal RNA". It matches the Rfam family "Bacterial small subunit ribosomal RNA", at positions 524 to 776 of the family's 1533-position model. The record is from RNAcentral.